GUGGGGAAUUUUGGACAAUGGGCGAAAGCCUGAUCCAGCCAUGCCGCGUGCAGGAUGAAGGCCUAUGGGUUGUAAACUUCUUUUCUCAGAAAAGAAUUAUGACGGUAUCUGAGGAAUAAGCAUCGGCUAACUCUGUGCCAGCAGCCGCGGUAAGACAGAGGAUGCAAGCGUUAUCCGGAAUGAUUGGGCGUAAAGCGUCUGUAGGUUGUUUAAAAAGUAUUCUGUCAAAGAUUAGGGCUUAACCCUAGAUAGGCAGAAUAAACUUUUAAGCUAGAGUUUGGUAGAGGCAGAGGGAAUUCCCGGUGGAGCGGUGAAAUGCGUAGAUAUCGGGAGGAACACCAAAGGCGAAGGCACUCUGCUGGGCCAAUACUAACACUGAGAGACGAAAGCGAGGGGAGCAAAUGGGAUUAGAAACCCCGGUAGUCC
Molecule: ribosomal RNA, 426 nt
Filed under: uncultured bacterium
Lineage: Bacteria
Description: partial 16S ribosomal RNA
Rfam family: Bacterial small subunit ribosomal RNA
Source: RNAcentral